GCAGUGUCCAAACCUAUUAGUGGAAACAUCACAUCAGGCAACCCUUCUAAUUCCGCUCGACAGUUAACUUGACCUGAAAUCUUUUUGCUAUCUGGAAUUUCAUCGCGAUCAUACAUGGCAGCAUGGACUGUCUCGUGAAUUGUAAAAAGAAUUCUCUGCUUCCCUCUAUAAAGAUAAGGUUUCCAUGCUGGCUGCUUCUGAUCUGCAGGAGGGAUGUCUGCUGAAGAAA
Molecule: unclassified non-coding RNA, 229 nt
Filed under: Hevea brasiliensis (rubber tree)
Lineage: Eukaryota; Viridiplantae; Streptophyta; Magnoliopsida; Malpighiales; Euphorbiaceae
Source: RNAcentral